RNAcentral lists this ribosomal RNA (669 nucleotides) under Triticum aestivum (bread wheat). RNAcentral describes it as "partial small subunit ribosomal RNA". The record is from RNAcentral. Lineage: Eukaryota; Viridiplantae; Streptophyta; Magnoliopsida; Poales; Poaceae.
AUGGCUCCAGCUUCCGCCUCCCUCCUCCCCGCCGCCGGCUCCAAGCGCCCCUUCGCCGCCGACUCCGCCCCCGACGCUGCUGAGCAAGAGCAGCCGCUCGCGCAGGUGAACUGUGGUGACCAGGAGAGCGCGGCGACCAAGAAGAACGGCCAGAGCCAGAGCGAGCAGCAGAAGCUGGAGUGCCCGCGGUGCAGCUCCACCGACACCAAGUUCUGCUACUACAACAACUACAGCACGGCACAGCCGCGCCACUACUGCCGCACCUGCCGCCGCUACUGGACGCACGGCGGCACGCUGCGCAAGGUCCCCGUCGGCGGCGCGUGCCGCCGCGGCUCCGGCGGCAACAGCAAGCGCCGCAGGUCCUCAGCCGAGCCCCACACGCCCUCGUCCGACUCGCCGCAGCCGGACCAGGACGCGGGCCACCCCGGCCCGGACCUGCCGCUCCCGGUCUUCCCGUUCCUCACCGACGGCGCCGUCUUCCUGCCGCAGUUCGACCUCGGGCUCGGCGUGUUACCGUGGACGACACCAGCAGCCACGGACCACCUCUACGACUGGCUCGCGGCGCCGUGGGGUGGCUGUGACGGGGCGCUCGCCCCCGCCGGCGCGUGGGACGACUUCGGCGGCCUCGAGCUCACCUGGCCGCCGCCGCUGCCGCCUGCCGGGAACUGA